GAUGAACGCUGGCGGCGUGCCUAAUACAUGCAAGUCGAGCGAACAGACGAGGAGCUUGCUCCUCUGACGUUAGCGGCGGACGGGUGAGUAACACGUGGAUAACCUACCUAUAAGACUGGGAUAACUUCGGGAAACCGGAGCUAAUACCGGAUAAUAUAUUGAACCGCAUGGUUCAAUAGUGAAAGACGGUUUUGCUGUCACUUAUAGAUGGAUCCGCGCCGCAUUAGCUAGUUGGUAAGGUAACGGCUUACCAAGGCAACGAUGGGUAGCCGACCUGAGAGGGUGAUCGGCCACACUGGAACUGAGACACGGUCCAGACUCCUACGAGAGGCAGCAGUAGGGAAUCUUCCGCAAUGGGUGAAAGCCUGACGGAGCAACGCCGCGUGAGUGAUGAAGGUCUUCGGAUCGUAAAACUCUGUUAUUAGGGAAGAACAAAUGUGUAAGUAACUAUGCACGUCUUGACGGUACCUAAUCAGAAAGCCACGGCUAACUACGUG
RNAcentral lists this ribosomal RNA (497 nucleotides) under uncultured bacterium. Its description in RNAcentral is "partial 16S ribosomal RNA". It matches the Rfam family "Bacterial small subunit ribosomal RNA", at positions 28 to 507 of the family's 1533-position model. The record is from RNAcentral.